This 1883-nucleotide long non-coding RNA is filed under the name Homo sapiens (human). RNAcentral describes it as "HSALNT0298687". Lineage: Eukaryota; Metazoa; Chordata; Mammalia; Primates; Hominidae. The record is from RNAcentral.
ACAAACACAAAAGACACGCUGAGGGGCCGCCGGCUCCCGCCGAGACUGCCGCCCGCACCCGGCCAGCCCCCGCCCCCGGCCCUGCACUCCCAUCCCGCUCCGUGUGCGCACGGCGUCGAACCCCCGAAGCCCGGGUUUGGGGCGCCCGGAGGGAAGUGGGGGGAGGGGAAGGCGGGCGGAGGCGCGGCGGGUGAACGCCCGGCCUGCGGGCGUCUCGGGCCGCGGCGGGGAGGGGAGGGAGGGGCUGCCCCCGCGCGGGCCCCGGCGCGCGCCCCCGAGGAGACCCGGGCGGCAGUGGGGGAGGAGGACGCGGUCGGCCGGGUCGCCGCGCCCCAUUGGAAAACGCUCCCCAGCAGGAAGCUGGCAAAUAGGAAUCCAGCGUCCCGCGCCCGCUGUCGGACCUGGCCGCUGCGGCAGCGGGAGGGGCGGACCGACGGCCUCCUUCCCGCCUGCGCGCUCGGCCAAGUGCGGCCGGGUCCUGCGGGACCGGCCCGAGUCCGCCGUAGACAACUUGAUCCGCUAAGACUCCUGGGCCGGCCGCCUGCGUGCAGGGCAGCCCCUCGCCGGUGUUGGCCUCCGGGAUCAGGGGACGGGGCUCGCUCUCCUCCCGGGCCCGGGCCCCCGACGCAAGAUGGCUGUGUCGCGUCGGCCUCUAAACAAUGUGUGGAGCGCGCAGCUCCUGCACCAGGGCCUGGUGGCUUGUCCUGCCCGCCCGUGGGGGCCGUGUGAUCUGUUUUCGGUAGGAUUGCUUUGGAAAGGAAUUGCCGAAUAUAGAUAGUCAAAUGUCCGCAGCUUCUGCAUAGUUUAGAAGAGGCUGAAAACGGCAGAAAGAAGGCAAACGUGGUUUGGGAAUUAGUACAUAUACCUGUUUUCCAAUUCUCAGUAGCAUAGGAAACGGACUUUUCAUGGCCCAAGUUAUCCUCACGACUUGUCAGUUGAUUGGCUUUGGAACCUCUGAACCGUCCCUAGAUGGUAUUGACGCUUCACAACUGUGUGUAAAGGUUUUCAAUGGAAGGGUCAUGCAAAUAUCCCGUAGGGUAGUGAAGGAGGAAAAUUUCAUAAAUGAAGGGCAGUAAUUAUUUGUAAUCUGAAGAUCUCACAAAGCGGCUUAGUGAUAAACAUUAUCCCGAAACAGAUACAUGGAAAUCAGAUACGAGGGAAGAAAUGGAUUUGUCCAAGGUCACUUAAGUGAGGAAGAGACCUAGGAGAAACAAACAGACAAAAAUCCAGGCCUCCCGUUUCAUUAUUAUUUCAUGAAUGUUAAGUGUCCAUGGUUGCUGUGCAGAACACAUGCAAUCUCUAAUCCUAUCCUAAAAGCACAUAUGCAAUCAGCUUGGACCGAGCUGCCAGCAAAGAAUUUCCUAUAAUUCAAGCCAAGAUGAGUUAUUUUGCUUGUUUUUUGUUUUGUUUUCAGGAAACCGAAAUAUUUAUUGUUGGAUUUAUCCAGGAAGGCUGUUCUGCAUUAGUUAAAUGCAUCAUAUCUUCAAGAAAUGUUAAAUGACAUGGAUGCUUCCAGCCCUGAAGCAUCAGACUCCAGGUUCUUUGGCUUUUGGACUCUUGGAGUUACACCAGUGGUUUCCCAGGAACUCUCCAGCCUUGGGCCACAGACUGAAGUUUGCACUGUCGGCUUCCCUGCUUUUGAGGUUUUGUGACUCAGACUGAGCCAACUGGCUUCCUUGCUCUUCAGGUUGCGGACGGCCUAUCGUGGGACUUUGCCUUGUGAUUGUAGAGAGGGUUUGUUUUGUUGUCCAUGCUGGUCUCAAACUCCUGGCCUCAAGCAAUCCUUUUGCCUCAGCCUGCCAAAGUCCUAGGAUUAUAGGUGUGAGCCACCACCUCCAACUUAGCCGAGAAUAUCUUGGUCCUCAGAUGGUGGAUUCAGAAGG